GCACGAAGCGGUGGAGCAGUGUGGUUUAAUUCGAAGCAACGCGAAGAACCUUACCAGGUCUUGACAUCCCGAUGCUAUUUCUAGAGAUAGAAAGUUACUUCGGUACAUCGGUGACAGGUGGUGCAUGGUUGUCGUCAGCUCGUGUCGUGAGAUGUUGGGUUAAGUCCCGCAACGAGCGCAACCCCUAUUGUUAGUUGCCAUCAUUCAGUUGGGCACUCUAGCGAGACUGCCGGUAAUAAACCGGAGGAAGGUGGGAUGACGUCAAAUCAUCAUGCCCCUUAUGACCUGGGCUACACACGUGCUACAAUGGUUGGUACAACGAGUUGCGAGUCGGUGACGGCGAGCUAAUCUCUUAAAGCCAAUCUCAGUUCGGAUUGUAGGCUGCAACUCGCCUACAUGAAGUCGGAAUCGCUAGUAAUCGCGGAUCAGCCAUGCCGCGGUGAAUACGUUCCCGGGCCUU
RNAcentral lists this ribosomal RNA (460 nucleotides) under uncultured Streptococcus sp. RNAcentral describes it as "bacterial SSU rRNA". It matches the Rfam family "Bacterial small subunit ribosomal RNA", at positions 923 to 1382 of the family's 1533-position model. Lineage: Bacteria; Bacillati; Bacillota; Bacilli; Lactobacillales; Streptococcaceae. The record is from RNAcentral.